GAUGAAGAACGUAGCGAAAUGCGAUAAGUAAUGUGAAUUGCAGAAUUCAGUGAAUCAUCGAAUCUUUGGACGCACAUUGCGCCCGCCAGUAUUCUGGCGGGCAUGCCUGUUCGAGCGUCAUUUCAACCAUCAAGCCCCCGGCUUGUGUUGGGGACCUGCGGCUGCCGCAGGCCCUGAAAACCAGUGGCGGGCUCGCUGUCACACCGAGCGUAGUAGAUUUUCAUCUCGCUCAGGGCGUGCUGCGGGUUCCGGCCGUAAAAAGCCUUAUUUACCCAAGGUUGACCUCGGAUCAGGUAGGAAGACCCGCUGAACUUAAGCAUAUCAAUAAGCGGAGGA
Molecule: unclassified non-coding RNA, 336 nt
Filed under: soil metagenome
Description: partial contains 5.8S ribosomal RNA, internal transcribed spacer 2, and large subunit ribosomal RNA
Rfam family: 5.8S ribosomal RNA (bases 1-120)
Source: RNAcentral